RNAcentral lists this ribosomal RNA (468 nucleotides) under uncultured bacterium. Its description in RNAcentral is "partial 16S ribosomal RNA". It matches the Rfam family "Bacterial small subunit ribosomal RNA", at positions 28 to 507 of the family's 1533-position model. The record is from RNAcentral.
GACGAACGCUGGCGGCGUGCUUAACACAUGCAAGUCGAACGGAAAGGCCCUGCUUUUGUGGGGUGCUCGAGUGGCGAACGGGUGAGUAACACGUGAGUAACCUGCCCUUGACUUUGGGAUAACUUCAGGAAACUGGGGCUAAUACCGGCUAGGAGCUCCUGCUGCAUGGUGGGGGUUGGAAAGUUUCGGCGGUUGGGGAUGGACUCGCGGCUUAUCAGCUUGUUGGUGGGGUAGUGGCUUACCAAGGCUUUGACGGGUAGCCGGCCUGAGAGGGUGACCGGCCACAUUGGGACUGAGAUACGGCCCAGACUGCAACGGGAGGCAGCAGUGGGGAAUAUUGCACAAUGGGCGGAAGCCUGAUGCAGCAACGCCGCGUGCGGGAUGACGGCCUUCGGGUUGUAAACCGCUUUCGCCUGUGACGAAGCGUGAGUGACGGUAAUGGGUAAAGAAGCACCGGCUAACUACGUG